RNAcentral lists this long non-coding RNA (2733 nucleotides) under Papio anubis (olive baboon). RNAcentral describes it as "lncRNA (ENSPANG00000037590.1)". The record is from RNAcentral. Lineage: Eukaryota; Metazoa; Chordata; Mammalia; Primates; Cercopithecidae.
GUCCUAUUUUCAUGACCGGUCAGUUCAAAAUACGUUAUAAUUUCAAUUGGUCUUUCCUAUUUGGUGUAAUGAGUUAUCUUGAAAAGUACUGAUUAAAAAUUUGAAAUUUGAAAUUUCCAAAUAUUUUGAUUAUUUUUCUAUGUUUCUGCUAUUUAUUUGUGGCUUUACUUCCAAUCUAGUAGGAGAACAUACAUUGUAUGCUUUCAAUCAUUUGACAUUUCUUAAGACUUUUUCAUGACUCAGAAUGUGCUCUUUUUGUUCAAUGUUCCAUGACCAUGUGGAAAGUGUAUAUUCUUUCUUAUAUCAAGUAGGUGAAAUUGGUUAAUGAUGUUAGGUGCUUUAUAAAGAAAAGAGGUUUAUUUGGCUCAUAAUUCUUCAGGCUGUACAAGAAGUAUGGUAUCAGCAUUUGCUUCUGAUGAGAGCCUCAAGCUACUUACACUCAUGGCAGAAGGUGAAGGGGAGCUGGUAUGUGCAGAGAUCACAUGGUGAGAGAGGAAACAAAAGAGGAAGGAGAGGAAGGUGCUAGGCUCUUUUUAACAACCAGCUAUCAUGGGAACUACUAGAGCAAGAACUCAGUCAUUAGCCAUUCAUGAGGGAUUCACCCUCAUGACUCAAACACCUUCCAUCAAGCCUCAUCUACACCAUUGGGGAUCAAAAUUCAACAUGAGGUUGAGGGGAAAAUAUCCACAUUAUAAUAAUAUGUUAAAAGUUUUAUAAUUUCUGGGACAUCUUCAAAUACUUUUCUUUCUCCUUAACAGGUCAAUGACAUCUAGUUUGAAUAGAAGACUCCGGAAUUAUGACUCUAUUUCUUUCUGUAAUUCAUAGAUAUUAUUCUAGUCUUCUGCAUUCUAGUGUUGUAGAUCUCCCAGUGUUUCUUGAACUCCUGGGGAAAACCCCCUCACUAGUAUUCUCUGCUGGUGCUUCUACACAACUGAAGACCUCACUGAACCUGGGAGCCUAUAGACCUCAGUAGAGGCCGAAGAAGAUACAGCUGAAUCAAAAUUGGACAAGGAAGAAAGAUGACAAUGUGUCUAUUGCCAUCAGGCAAUGUUAAUUUUAACUUUUAAGAUGUUUCUUGUGGGCCUUCCCCCACAUGUCACUCCCAUAGUACCGUUCUCUAGGAGAUAAAAGCUAUGUUCAUAAAAUAAUCCAUGUUGUUGGUUAAUAAUUUAUUCUUCCAAUGAAAGUUGUUUGCAACUUUUAUAAAAUCACAACCUUUUAUAAACACUAACUUAAUCUAAAGUCAUGUAUCUGUUUGUAGGACUUUUAAAUAUCAUGACAAGCUAGGGAGGAAGACAUUUUCUGUGUGAAUCCCAUUAUAAUCAUCCUAGAAAUGGAAUUGCUGCAACAUAGGAUGUGAACACAUUCAGCUUUCUUAGAUAUUACUAGGAAUUUUACCAAUAGCAGUGCAUAAAACUGUUGUUACUCCUCACCCUCUGCAAUGCUUGAAGGCAUAAGAUAUUUAAAGUUCUAGAAGUCUGAUAUGUAUAAAAUAUUAAAUUAUUGUGACAUUAAUUUUUAUUAUGUGCCAUUUGGAUAACUUCUUUUGUGAAUUGACUAUUCAUAUUAUUUAUUUCACACUAGAAUUUUUUUUUUUUUUUUUUUUUUGAGACAGUCUCACUCUGUCCCUAGGCUGGAGUGCAGUGGUGCAAUCUCGGCUCACUGCAAGCUCCGCCUCCCAGGUUCAAGUGAUUCUCCUGCUUCAGCCUCCCAAGAAGCUGUGACUACAGGUGCCUGCCACCACGCCCAGCUAAUUUUUGUAUUUUUAGUAGAAACGGGGUUUCAUCAUGUUAGCCAGGAUGGUCUCGAUCUCUUGACCACGUGAUCUGCUCACCUUGGCCUCCCAAAGUGCUGGGAUUACAGGCAUGAGCCACCAUGCCUGGCCUAUUUCACACUAGAUUUUAUCUUUACUUACUGGUAGGUGGCCUUUGAAUAGUCUAGGAAUGAAUCUUGUGCUGAAAGAUUGUAAAUACUUUCUUCCAAAUCUGUGACUUGCCUUUCAGAUUACAGUUUUAAUGCUAGAAUUGUCAAAUUUAUCAGUAUUUCUGUUAGAGGUGGUACCUUUAGUUCUUGUAUUCUCAUUUUAAAAGUCUUUUUCUUUUUCUACCCUGAAAUUAUCCUAUGUGUUCUUGUAAAACAUUUUUAGUAUUGUUCUCCAUAUUUAAGAUAUUUCCAUCUGGAAUUUAUUUUUGUAUGGUGUGAGAUAUGGAUAUAACCUAGAAAUAUAAUUAUGUUUUCCUUAAUAUAAGCCAAAUUUUAUUUGGUUAUUUAUUUUAUAAGCUCUAUUUAUUACACCUUUUCCUCACUGAUUCCCCACUGGCCAGUAAGGUCACUACUGUUUUACACCAAAUUCCACAAUAUGAGUCUAUUUCUUGCCUCUCUCGUCUAUUUGUCUAUCUCUGAAUCAAGCCCAGGGAUCAAUGUUUUGUUGUUAUGGGGAACGGAAUUUUUGAGAAGCUCACUGGUUAAUGUCCUCUAACCUACUGGCAAAAGAUUGUUGGAAAUACCUAACCACCAGAGGCAAGGUAGAUGUAAUUAAUAUCAUGACAUCAAGACCAGAGAGGUACUUAGGUGCUUGACAUAAAUAAUAAUGUCUAUACAGUUGAGACAUAAGAACAGCUAAGUUCUAAAUUGUUUGGUGUAAUAAAAAAAGAAAUUAAGACCCAGUGAGCAGAAAACUGAUGUCAGGUACCAUAAUGGAAAAUCACCAUAUUCAUCCAGCUUCUAGAUCUA